This 252-nucleotide ribosomal RNA is filed under the name uncultured bacterium. RNAcentral describes it as "partial 16S ribosomal RNA". It matches the Rfam family "Bacterial small subunit ribosomal RNA", at positions 524 to 776 of the family's 1533-position model. The record is from RNAcentral.
UACGUAGGUCCCGAGCGUUGUCCGGAUUUAUUGGGCGUAAAGCGAGCGCAGGUGGUUUAUUAAGUCUGGUGUAAAAGGCAGUGGCUCAACCAUUGUAUGCAUUGGAAACUGGUAGACUUGAGUGCAGGAGAGGGGAGUGGAAUUCCAUGUGUAGCGGUGAGAUGCGUAGAUAUAUGGAGGAACACCGGUGGCGAAAGCGGCUCUCUGACCUGUAACUGACACUGAGGCUCGAAAGCGUGGGGAGCAAACAGG